RNAcentral lists this transfer RNA (71 nucleotides) under Blastopsylla occidentalis. RNAcentral describes it as "tRNA-Ser". The record is from RNAcentral. Lineage: Eukaryota; Metazoa; Arthropoda; Insecta; Hemiptera; Aphalaridae.
UGUCUUAAACAGUUAAAUAAUUUAAUUAAAAAUAUCUACCUUGAAAGUAGAAAAUGGACUUUUCUUUAACU